UACGGAAGGUGCAAGCGUUAUCCGGAAUCACUGGGUUUAAAGGGUGCGUAGGCUGUUUAAUAAGUCAGAGGUGAAAUAUGCGGGCUUAACCUGCAAACUGCCUUUGAAACUGUUAGACUUGAAAUAGGUUGAGGUUAGCGGAAUGUGACAUGUAGCGGUGAAAUGCAUAGAUAUGUCAUAGAACACCAAUUGCGAAGGCA
This 200-nucleotide ribosomal RNA is filed under the name uncultured bacterium. RNAcentral describes it as "partial 16S ribosomal RNA". It matches the Rfam family "Bacterial small subunit ribosomal RNA", at positions 524 to 723 of the family's 1533-position model. The record is from RNAcentral.